UACGGAGGAUCCGAGCGUUAUCCGGAUUUAUUGGGUUUAAAGGGAGCGUAGGCGGGUUGUUAAGUCAGUUGUGAAAGUUUGCGGCUCAACCGUAAAAUUGCAGUUGAUACUGGCAUCCUUGAGUACAGUAGAGGUAGGCGGAAUUCGUGGUGUAGCGGUGAAAUGCUUAGAUAUCACGAAGAACUCCGGUUGCGAAGGCAGCCUGCUGGACUGUAACUGACGCUGAUGCUCGAAAGUGUGGGUAUCAAACAGG
This 253-nucleotide ribosomal RNA is filed under the name uncultured bacterium. Its description in RNAcentral is "partial 16S ribosomal RNA". It matches the Rfam family "Bacterial small subunit ribosomal RNA", at positions 524 to 776 of the family's 1533-position model. The record is from RNAcentral.